AACGAACGCUGGCGGCGUGGAUUAGGCAUGCAAGUCGAACGCGAAAGAGGGAGCAAUCCCUCAAGUAGAGUGGCGAACGGGUGAGUAACGCGUGAAGAACCUGCCUUCAACAGGGGGAUAACACUCCCAACGGGGUGCUAAUACCGCAUGAGACCACGGGUCCGCAUGGACCUGAGGUCAAAGGUGGCCUCUGCUUGCAAGCUACCGGUUGAAGAUGGCUUCGCGUCCCAUUAGCUAGUUGGCGGUGUAAAAGACCACCAAGGCGACGAUGGGUAGCUGGUCUGAGAGGAUGGUCAGCCACACUGGGACUGAGAUACGGCCCAGACUCCUACGGGAGGCAGCAGUCGAGAGGCUUUGGCAAUGGGGAAACCCUGACCAAGCGACGCCGCGUGGAGGAUGAAGGCCCUUGGGUUGUAACUCCUUUUGUCGGGAAGAAAUGCGAUCAGGUAAACAAUCUGGUCGUUUGACGGUACCCGGCGAAUAAGCUCCGGCUAACUCCGUGCCAGCCGCC
This 511-nucleotide ribosomal RNA is filed under the name uncultured bacterium. RNAcentral describes it as "bacterial SSU rRNA". It matches the Rfam family "Bacterial small subunit ribosomal RNA", at positions 29 to 516 of the family's 1533-position model. The record is from RNAcentral.